Molecule: RNA transcript, 1368 nt
Organism: Homo sapiens (human)
Lineage: Eukaryota; Metazoa; Chordata; Mammalia; Primates; Hominidae
Gene: CASP16P
Gene name: caspase 16, pseudogene
Exons: 10
Source: RefSeq, marked validated
UGAGAGCUGCGAGAGGAGGGAGGUCCCGGUCCAGGGCUUCCUCGAGGAACUGGCUUGGUUCCAGGAGCAGCUGGAUGCCCACGGGCGCCCUGUGGGGUGUGCCUUAGUGGCCUUGAUGCCCCCAGAGGGCAGCUGAGGCAGCCACAGCAGCUGGUCCGGGAGCUGAGCGGCUGCCGGGCCCUGCGGGGCUGCCCCAAAGUCUUCCUGCUGCUCUCAAGUGGUCCUGGGUCCUCCCUGGAGCCCGGAGCCUUCCUUGCUGGCCUGAGAGAGCUGUGUGGCCGCUCUCCUCACUGGUCCCUGGUGCAGCUGCUGACGAAGCUCUUCCGCAGGGUGGCUGAAGAGUCCGCAGGGGGCACCUGCUGCCCCGUCCUUCGGAGCUCCUUGAGGGGGGCACUGUGCCUGGGAGGCGUGGAGCCCUGGAGGCCUGAGCCGGCCCCCGGUCCCAGCACACAGUAUGACCUGUCCAAGGCCAGGGCUGCCCUCCUCCUGGCUGUGAUCCAAGGCCGGCCUGGGGCCCAGCAUGACGUGGAGGCGCUGGGGGGCCUGUGCUGGGCCCUGGGCUUUGAGACCACCGUGAGAACGGACCCUACAGCCCAGGCUUUCCAGGAGGAGCUGGCCCAGUUCCGGGAGCAACUGGACACCUGCAGGGGCCCUGUGAGCUGUGCCCUUGUGGCCCUGAUGGCCCAUGGGGGACCACGGGGUCAGCUGCUGGGGGCUGACGGGCAAGAGGUGCAGCCCGAGGCACUCAUGCAGGAGCUGAGCCGCUGCCAGGUGCUGCAGGGCCGCCCCAAGAUCUUCCUGUUGCAGGCCUGCCGUGGGGGAAACAGGGAUGCUGGUGUGGGGCCCACAGCUCUCCCCUGGUACUGGAGCUGGCUGCGGGCACCUCCAUCUGUCCCCUCCCAUGCAGAUGUCCUGCAGAUCUACGCUGAGGCCCAAGGCAGCUCCUGCAGGGGCACCCCUCCAGGGAGCUCUGACCAAGCAGACAUCCUGACGGUCUACUCAGCCGCAGAGGGCUAUGUGGCCUAUCGCGAUGACAAGGGCUCAGACUUUAUCCAGACACUGGUGGAGGUCCUCAGAGCCAACCCCGGGAGAGACCUUCUGGAGCUGCUGACUGAGGUCAACAGGCGGGUGUGCGAGCAGGAGGUGCUGGGCCCCGACUGCGAUGAACUCCGCAAGGCCUGCCUGGAGAUCCGCAGCUCGCUCCGGCGCCGGCUCUGCCUCCAGGCCUGAGGGUGCGGCGGCCACGGGGGCGCUGCUGAGACGGUGGCCAGAUCCCAGCGCCAUUCUUGCCUCCAUCCACCCCCCAUCCCCCCGGUUUCCUCAUCUGAGAGCGAGGCGUGGCAGCGUGGGGGUGGCCGUGCAAUAAAU